GACGAACGCUGGCGGCGUGCUUAACACAUGCAAGUCGAGCGGUAAGGCCCUUUCGGGGGUACACGAGCGGCGAACGGGUGAGUAACACGUGGGUGACCUGCCCUCAGCUCUGGGAUAAGCCUGGGAAACCGGGUCUAAUACUGGAUAUGACUCCAUGACGCAUGUUGUGGGGUGGAAAGCCUUGUGCGGCUGAGGAUGGGCCCGCGGCCUAUCAGCUUGUUGGUGGGGUGANGGCCUACCAAGGCGACGACGGGUAGCCGGCCUGAGAGGGCGACCGGCCACACUGGGACUGAGACACGGCCCAGACUCCUACGGGAGGC
Molecule: ribosomal RNA, 320 nt
Filed under: uncultured bacterium
Lineage: Bacteria
Description: bacterial SSU rRNA
Rfam family: Bacterial small subunit ribosomal RNA
Source: RNAcentral